This 2931-nucleotide ribosomal RNA is filed under the name Leclercia sp. J807. RNAcentral describes it as "23S ribosomal RNA". It matches the Rfam family "Bacterial large subunit ribosomal RNA". The record is from RNAcentral. Lineage: Bacteria; Pseudomonadati; Pseudomonadota; Gammaproteobacteria; Enterobacterales; Enterobacteriaceae.
GGGUUGUGAGGUUAAGCGACUAAGCGUACACGGUGGAUGCCCUGGCAGUCAGAGGCGAUGAAGGACGUGCUAAUCUGCGAAAAGCGCCGGCGAGGUGAUAUGAACCCUUGACCCGGCGAUGUCCGAAUGGGGAAACCCAGUGCAAUCCGUUGCACUAUCGUUAGCUGAAUACAUAGGCUAACGAGGCGAACCGGGGGAACUGAAACAUCUAAGUACCCCGAGGAAAAGAAAUCAACCGAGAUUCCCCCAGUAGCGGCGAGCGAACGGGGAGCAGCCCGGAGUCUGAAUCAGCUUGUGUGUUAGUGGAAGCGUCUGGAAAGUCGCAGGGUACAGGGUGAUACUCCCGUACACGAAAGCACACAUGCUGUGAACUCGAAGAGUAGGGCGGGACACGUGGUAUCCUGUCUGAAUAUGGGGGGACCAUCCUCCAAGGCUAAAUACUCCUGACUGACCGAUAGUGAACCAGUACCGUGAGGGAAAGGCGAAAAGAACCCCGGCGAGGGGAGUGAAAAAGAACCUGAAACCGUGUACGUACAAGCAGUGGGAGCAUCCUUCGGGGUGUGACUGCGUACCUUUUGUAUAAUGGGUCAGCGACUUAUAUUCUGUAGCAAGGUUAACCGUAUAGGGGAGCCGGAGGGAAACCGAGUCUUAACUGGGCGUUAAGUUGCAGGGUAUAGACCCGAAACCCGGUGAUCUAGCCAUGGGCAGGUUGAAGGUUGGGUAACACUAACUGGAGGACCGAACCGACUAAUGUUGAAAAAUUAGCGGAUGACCUGUGGCUGGGGGUGAAAGGCCAAUCAAACCGGGAGAUAGCUGGUUCUCCCCGAAAGCUAUUUAGGUAGCGCCUCGUGAAUUCAUCCUCGGGGGUAGAGCACUGUUUCGGCUAGGGGGCCAUCCCGGCUUACCAACCCGAUGCAAACUGCGAAUACCGAGGAAUGUUAUCACGGGAGACACACGGCGGGUGCUAACGUCCGUCGUGAAGAGGGAAACAACCCAGACCGCCAGCUAAGGUCCCAAAGUCAUGGUUAAGUGGGAAACGAUGUGGGAAGGCACAGACAGCCAGGAUGUUGGCUUAGAAGCAGCCAUCAUUUAAAGAAAGCGUAAUAGCUCACUGGUCGAGUCGGCCUGCGCGGAAGAUGUAACGGGGCUAAACCAUGCACCGAAGCUGCGGCAGCGACACUAUGUGUUGUUGGGUAGGGGAGCGUUCUGUAAGCCUGCGAAGGUGUGCUGUGAGGCAUGCUGGAGGUAUCAGAAGUGCGAAUGCUGACAUAAGUAACGAUAAAGCGGGUGAAAAGCCCGCUCGCCGGAAGACCAAGGGUUCCUGUCCAACGUUAAUCGGGGCAGGGUGAGUCGACCCCUAAGGCGAGGCCGAAAGGCGUAGUCGAUGGGAAACAGGUUAAUAUUCCUGUACUCGGUGUUACUGCGAAGGGGGGACGGAGAAGGCUAUGUUGGCCGGGCGACGGUUGUCCCGGUUUAAGCAUGUAGGCGGAGGUUCCAGGUAAAUCCGGUACCUUUUAACGCUGAGGUGUGAUGACGAGGCACUACGGUGCUGAAGCAACAAAUGCCCUGCUUCCAGGAAAAGCCUCUAAGCAUCAGGUAACAUCAAAUCGUACCCCAAACCGACACAGGUGGUCAGGUAGAGAAUACCAAGGCGCUUGAGAGAACUCGGGUGAAGGAACUAGGCAAAAUGGUGCCGUAACUUCGGGAGAAGGCACGCUGAUAUGUAGGUGAAGCCCCUGCGGGUGGAGCUGAAAUCAGUCGAAGAUACCAGCUGGCUGCAACUGUUUAUUAAAAACACAGCACUGUGCAAACACGAAAGUGGACGUAUACGGUGUGACGCCUGCCCGGUGCCGGAAGGUUAAUUGAUGGGGUUAGCUGUAAGGCGAAGCUCUUGAUCGAAGCCCCGGUAAACGGCGGCCGUAACUAUAACGGUCCUAAGGUAGCGAAAUUCCUUGUCGGGUAAGUUCCGACCUGCACGAAUGGCGUAAUGAUGGCCAGGCUGUCUCCACCCGAGACUCAGUGAAAUUGAAAUCGCUGUGAAGAUGCAGUGUACCCGCGGCAAGACGGAAAGACCCCGUGAACCUUUACUAUAGCUUGACACUGAACACUGGUCCUUGAUGUGUAGGAUAGGUGGGAGGCUUUGAAGUGUGGACGCCAGUCUGCAUGGAGCCGUCCUUGAAAUACCACCCUUUAAUGGCUGGUGUUCUAACGUGGACCCGUUACCCGGGUUGCGGACAGUGUCUGGUGGGUAGUUUGACUGGGGCGGUCUCCUCCUAAAGAGUAACGGAGGAGCACGAAGGUCAGCUAAUCCUGGUCGGACAUCAGGAGGUUAGUGCAAUGGCAUAAGCUGGCUUGACUGCGAGAGUGACGGCUCGAGCAGGUGCGAAAGCAGGUCAUAGUGAUCCGGUGGUUCUGAAUGGAAGGGCCAUCGCUCAACGGAUAAAAGGUACUCCGGGGAUAACAGGCUGAUACCGCCCAAGAGUUCAUAUCGACGGCGGUGUUUGGCACCUCGAUGUCGGCUCAUCACAUCCUGGGGCUGAAGUAGGUCCCAAGGGUAUGGCUGUUCGCCAUUUAAAGUGGUACGCGAGCUGGGUUUAGAACGUCGUGAGACAGUUCGGUCCCUAUCUGCCGUGGGCGCUGGAGAAUUGAGGGGGGCUGCUCCUAGUACGAGAGGACCGGAGUGGACGCAUCACUGGUGUUCGGGUUGUCAUGCCAAUGGCACUGCCCGGUAGCUAAAUGCGGAAGAGAUAAGUGCUGAAAGCAUCUAAGCACGAAACUUGCCCCGAGAUGAGUUCUCCCUGACCCUUUAAGGGUCCUGAAGGAACGUUGAAGACGACGACGUUGAUAGGCCGGGUGUGUAAGCGCAGCGAUGCGUUGAGCUAACCGGUACUAAUGAACCGUGAGGCUUAACCUUACAACGCCGAAGCUGUU